AAAAACAUUAUAAAUAAUUUCUAAUCUUAAAACUUAAUUCCUAUGGAUUAAUAAACAUUUGUGAAUAAUAAAACAUUAUUCAAAAUUUUAUACAUUUUAUAAAUAUUAAGUAUUUAUUUAAAUACCUUAAAUAAAGGCACUAAAUAAAUACUUAAUUUUUUAUUACUUGAUCCUAGGGUUUAAGAAAUUUUAAUGCAUAAAAGAAAAUAAAAUACACCUAAUAAAGUUGAUUUCACUAAUUUGGGACAUUUCUACAAUUUAUAAUGAAUUAAAUAUGAAAACAGAAUUUAAAUCUAAUUUCUAAAACUCUAAAUCAACUUUCUUCCUGAAAACCCCCUCUGGAAACCUUUCUCACUCACCCCCGCACUAACCCUUCUCACCGACACGCGGGCCCGAACCUGAGC
This 404-nucleotide long non-coding RNA is filed under the name Setaria viridis. RNAcentral's name for it is "long non-coding RNA (SVIR_LNC000150)". The record is from RNAcentral. Lineage: Eukaryota; Viridiplantae; Streptophyta; Magnoliopsida; Poales; Poaceae.